This 1189-nucleotide ribosomal RNA is filed under the name Enterococcus faecalis. Its description in RNAcentral is "partial 23S ribosomal RNA". It matches the Rfam family "Bacterial large subunit ribosomal RNA", at positions 332 to 1522 of the family's 2925-position model. The record is from RNAcentral. Lineage: Bacteria; Bacillati; Bacillota; Bacilli; Lactobacillales; Enterococcaceae.
GUUGAAGGAUUUGGAAAAUUCCGCUAAAGAGGGUGAAAGCCCCGUAGACGAAAUGCUAACAACACCUAGGAGGAUCCUGAGUACGGCGGAACACGAGAAAUUCCGUCGGAAUCCGCGGGGACCAUCCCGCAAGGCUAAAUACUCCCUAGUGACCGAUAGUGAACCAGUACCGUGAGGGAAAGGUGAAAAGCACCCCGGAAGGGGAGUGAAAUAGAUCCUGAAACCGUGUGCCUACAACAAGUCAAAGCUCGUUAAUGAGUGAUGGCGUGCCUUUUGUAGAAUGAACCGGCGAGUUACGAUUGCAUGCGAGGUUAAGUCGAAGAGACGGAGCCGCAGCGAAAGCGAGUCUGAAUAGGGCGAAUGAGUAUGUAGUCGUAGACCCGAAACCAUGUGAUCUACCCAUGUCCAGGUUGAAGGUGCGGUAAAACGCACUGGAGGACCGAACCCACGUACGUUGAAAAGUGCGGGGAUGAGGUGUGGGUAGCGGAGAAAUUCCAAACGAACUUGGAGAUAGCUGGUUCUCUCCGAAAUAGCUUUAGGGCUAGCCUCGGAAUUGAGAAUGAUGGAGGUAGAGCACUGUUUGGACUAGGGGCCCAUCUCGGGUUACCGAAUUCAGAUAAACUCCGAAUGCCAUUCAUUUAUAUCCGGGAGUCAGACUGCGAGUGAUAAGAUCCGUAGUCGAAAGGGAAACAGCCCAGACCACCAGCUAAGGUCCCAAAAUAUAUGUUAAGUGGAAAAGGAUGUGGGGUUGCACAGACAACUAGGAUGUUGGCUUAGAAGCAGCCACCAUUUAAAGAGUGCGUAAUAGCUCACUAGUCGAGUGACCCUGCGCCGAAAAUGUACCGGGGCUAAACAUAUUACCGAAGCUGUGGACUACACCAUUAGGUGUAGUGGUAGGAGAGCGUUCUAAGGGCGUUGAAGGUCGAUCGUGAGGACGGCUGGAGCGCUUAGAAGUGAGAAUGCCGGUAUGAGUAGCGAAAGACAGGUGAGAAUCCUGUCCACCGUAUGACUAAGGUUUCCUGGGGAAGGCUCGUCCGCCCAGGGUUAGUCGGGACCUAAGCCGAGGCCGAUAGGCGUAGGCGAUGGACAACAGGUUGAUAUUCCUGUACCAGUUGUUUUUGUUUGAACAAUGGAGGGACGCAGUAGGCUAAGGAAUGCAUGCGAUUGGAAGUGCAUGUCCAAGCAAUGA